Molecule: ribosomal RNA, 492 nt
Filed under: uncultured bacterium
Lineage: Bacteria
Description: partial 16S ribosomal RNA
Rfam family: Bacterial small subunit ribosomal RNA
Source: RNAcentral
AGUGAACGCUGGCGGUAUGCCUAACACAUGCAAGUCGAACGGCAGCACAGUAAGAGUUUGCCCUUACGGGUGGCGAGUGGCGGACGGGUGAGGAAUACAUCGGAAUCUACUUUUUCGUGGGUGAUAACGUAGGGAAACUUACGCUAAUACCGCAUACGACCUACGGGUGAAAGCAGGGGAUCUUCGCACCUUGCGCGAUUGAAUGAGCCGAUGUCGGAUUAGCUAGUUGGCGUGGUAAAGGCACACCAAGGCGACGAUCCGUAGCUGGUCUGAGAGGAUGAUCAGCCACACUGGAACUGAGACACGGUCCAGACUCCUACGGGAGGCAGCAGUGGGGAAUAUUGGACAAUGGGCGAAAGCCUGAUCCAGCCAUACCGCGUGGGUGAAGAAGGCCUUCGGGUUGUAAAGCCCUUUUGUUGGGAAAGAAAAGCAGCAGGUUAAUACCCCGCUGUUCUGACGGUACCCAAAGAAUAAGCACCGGCUAACUUCGUG